This is a long non-coding RNA of Calliphora vicina (urban bluebottle blowfly), 455 nucleotides long. RefSeq lists it as uncharacterized. The record is from RefSeq and is a predicted model, not a curated record. The transcript has 5 exons. Lineage: Eukaryota; Metazoa; Arthropoda; Insecta; Diptera; Calliphoridae.
AAGUCAUUUAAUGAAGAUCAAUCCGACAUAUAUCGGAAGAUAAAUACGAAACUUGAUCUGCUUACUGAAAACAAUGAACUAUUAAAAAAACAACUUAAAGAAAAUAAUGAUAUUUUUAAAAAACAGCUAAAUGAAAUUCGAAAUCAAAAUGCAUUGAUUCUAGAUGCCCUAAGUGAAAAUAACGUUGCAUUAAAAGAUUUCUUAAAAGAUAGAAAUCCAAAAUACAUAAAAACUUUUCCAAUAAAUAGAAUCGAAGAGUUGAAUGACUUUGAGCGAAAUAUUAACGAGAGCAACGAAAAGGAAUAUAUUUCAUCUAUAAGAGCAAUAGCCGGACAAAGAGGACUAAAAAAAGGCCUUACAGACAUUUUGUCUCACAAAUUGUUGGUUGACUUUAAUGUGGAAGGAAGUCAUAAUAAACAGAGACUUCUAAAUUACCCAAAAUUUGUUAAUAUACU